CUCUGUGCUAGAUCCAAACAUCUUUCAACUCUGUGCUAGAUCCAAACAUCUUUCAACUCUGUGCUAGACCCAAACAUCUUUCAACUCUGUGCUAGAUCCAAACAUCUUUCAACUCAGCACUAGACCCAAACCUCUUUCAACUCUGUGCUAGACCCAAACAUCUUUCAACUCUGCACUAGACCCAAACCUCUUUCAAAAGGGGAAGUUCUACCCCAGACAGCUCUCUCAAGCUUCACAGGUCCCCUUUUCAUUUCAUUUAAGUUUCUCUAACUUCUCUAAAGGUAGAGAUGAAUGUUCUCACAUUCCCCACUAUCACUGACCCGUGGAGAACGCUAAACAAACCUGCAGUGUAUGUUUGCAAAGUGUAAAUAUCUGGGCGUCAAUUCAGAAAUGACAAUACAGUCCAGAUUUGCUUCCCUUCUGUUAAUUUUACGCUCUUGAGGUGAGUGUUUACACAGGUGCAGAGUAGAUCCCCCUUUUUUUAUUUGAAGAAAUGGUAGCUCCAUUUAUCUCUCCAGACAUCCCUCAUGCAUGACAUCUCUCUCCUUCCACGUUCCCAUGUGUUCCUGUUUAUAUGAGGUGUGUGUAUUGGUUUAUUUUUUUUUAGUUUAACAUUUUGACCAUUUUGUUUUACUUUUUUCCUGCUCACCGGUAAACCCAUCUCAGUUACAUAGGUGAGCAGGGGGAUGAUGGGAAAUGUAGUUCUGAGAGGUCUAAUGCGGGUACAUGGGAAGCAGGGAAUGCAAUUUAUAAGUUUACAAAAAGUGGUCAAAAUGGCACCACCCUUUGUUGAAAUGCUGCUGUUCGCUUUACCACAGAACGUUUACACAUUUACAAAAUAUUACAUUUCUAGACCACCAAAUUCCCAACAGGAGCUACAAAAACUAUCCCCCAUAAAUCACUGCCUGGUUGCGUGUAGCACUGACAGCGCCAGACCUUUCUCUGGAGGUGUUUCAGUCCAAACUGCAGGGGCCUCCCCUGCAGCUCCAAGAAAACGACACACAGUUCUAUUGCUACAGGGGGGAUGUUGUCAUGGCUACAGAUCUAUCUGACAUCCCUCAGAGUUCAUGUAAAGUUGUUAGCUGCAAUAACGUCUAGUCCAGCCAAGACUGGCCUUAAAUCCAGUCUUACAUCAGUUGUGUUUUGGGGCUUGCUGUACAGUGACUGUCGCCGGUCUGAAGGAUUUAAUAUGAGUUGGAGGGUGACUUGUGUGUUCAUGGUAAGAACACCACACUCGCUACACCUCCAGUAAUGACUUAGAAAAGUGCCUAAGGCAUUUCAGCUGCUACGGCAGUGACAUUCCAAAUGAAAUCAGAAGCCCGGUCACUAGAAACACAGGCAUGUGUUGUACAAGCCCAAUUAACCACCUGCUGGCAUCGAACUAAACACAGACAAAUAUAAGCACCCUACUCCUACCUCCUGAUAAUAAUCAAAUCCAUGCUGUUGUUAUGAUAUUAAAUAUAAUGUCAAAAACAUGAAAAUGUUUCCACUUGGACCCUGCCAAGACACACCCGUCCCUUUAUAGCUGCCGUCGCGCUUUACCAUUGAAUUAUCUUGCAAACUGUGGAUUGGAGACUCCAGUGAGAACACACCCAGGUGGAAUUUUCACUGCGUUCCAUUGAAGAUUCUUUGGCAAGGAUUCUAUUAGAAUCAAAGGUAAUCAAUGACACCUUCAAGGGGGGCACCAGCCAGGUAUUUUGCACAGGUGUUUUCAGGACUGUAAAAGGAGAACCGUCUGGGAUGACUGCAGUGUGGAGACAAUGGGCCGGGCCCUGAAGGCAGGCUCUCUGAAUGCUCUCCCGUGCAGCUCCCCUUUCCAGAUAGCUCUUCCAGGCCAGGCCAGGCCAGGCAGUCUGAUACCAGCUGUCACUCCUUUCAUCACAGCACAAUUAAUGAUUGCAGAAGGAGCUGUGUGAAGCCUGCAAGGCAUCAGGGAUAUUAAAGUUUUUAUCAAAGAUACAGCAGUAACCCCCCCUUACAUUUAUAAACACUGAUGUGUUAUUAAAUUAACUGUAGAGGUUAUAUUGGUUUGAUUCAGUAAUGUUGGUGGAACAAAGACCAGAAGACCUCAGAGGCUGCUCUAGAUCAUACAUCACAGAAAUGUAUUGUACUCUGUGUGCUUCAAUACAGUAUGCCUCUAUAUUGUGAAUCUGUUAACCUGGGAUAAUACGAUGCAGAGCAGUUUGGAUAAUGAUGCAGCGAUUAAUCAAUUACUCCUCAAUCGAUUGCCAUGACUUUUAGUUCGCGAGGCUCAUCCACACAUUCGUUGAUCAAUUAAUCACCCUGGUGGUGCCCUGUUUGGAGCCUCGUGGUCAUGUAUCCAUUGAAGUGACUGACACAGACAGUUACAUCGUCUCAAAAGUGUUACAGCAAGCAUGUCGUUUCAGAACAGGCUGGUGCUGAGUUAGAUUCAGAAGUUUAGAGUUUGUUAGUAUUCAUUUCACCCCCAGCAGUGUCUUCUGGGUUGAAGAAUGUAACUGGCUGACAGCGGUGUCAGUCAUUAGGGGAGGCAGCUGAUUGGUUACUGACAGUGAGGGGUGAAACGACCCGGGAAGCUACAACGUGUGGCUUUGUCACAACUGCCCUUCCGAUAUCUAAUGAAUGAAUGUGCAUGGCGGGGAAAACGUACUCUUUUGCGGGCUGCAAUUACUGUAGUGCAACCAGCUCCCCAGGGGGGGUCUUAAUGGUAGAUAUUGAUUGUGCGGCAGUUUCUGGAGACGGGAUUGGUUUAAAAUGCGGUCUGGGACGGAGAUGCAAGUUAACAUUAUUAAUCAGAUCUGUUCUUGUUCCACCUGCAGAUUCUGUCUCACUGAGAGCCCAGAUUACAUUAGCGUUAGCCGGGCUGUACAGGCAGUUAUUCCAUUUAGAAGAGCCGCAGAGUCGUAAAUCCAGCCGGGAAAUGAAUUAGGGGCUGACAAACCGGUACCGAGCACCUCCUCAACCUGCUGACCUGCUGUGUCCCUGCCCACAAGCUGAGGUCCUUCGACUCUGACCUACUUGUUACCCCCAAGCGAAAGUGCACCACGCUUAGAGAGCG
Long non-coding RNA from Polyodon spathula (Mississippi paddlefish), 3037 nucleotides. RefSeq lists it as uncharacterized. The record is from RefSeq and is a predicted model, not a curated record. NCBI's taxonomy places the organism in Eukaryota, Metazoa, Chordata, Actinopteri, Acipenseriformes, Polyodontidae. The transcript has 3 exons.